Molecule: ribosomal RNA, 442 nt
Filed under: uncultured bacterium
Lineage: Bacteria
Description: partial 16S ribosomal RNA
Rfam family: Bacterial small subunit ribosomal RNA
Source: RNAcentral
CCUACGGGCGGCAGCAGUGGGGAAUAUUGGGCAAUGGGCGCAAGCCUGACCCAGCAACGCCGCGUGAAGGAAGAAGGCUUUCGGGUUGUAAACUUCUUUUUAGAGGGAAGAGCAGAAGACGGUACCUCCUGAAUAAGCCACGGCUAACUACGUGCCAGCAGCCGCGGUAAUACGUAGGUGGCAAGCGUUGUCCGGAUUUACUGGGUGUAAAGGGCGUGCAGCCGGGAAGACAAGUCAGAUGUGAAAGCCCGCGGCUCAACCGCGGAACUGCAUUUGAAACUGUUUUUCUUGAGUACCGGAGAGGUCAUCGGAAUUCCUUGUGUAGCGGUGAAAUGCGUAGAUAUAAGGAAGAACACCGGUGGCGAAGGCAGAUGACUGGACGGCAACUGACGGUGAGGCGCGAAAGCGUGGGGAGCAAACAGGAUUAGAUACCCUUGUAGUC